GGCUGUCCUCUUUCCUCCCCUCAGAGGCAGGCAGAGCAGGAAGAAGCAGACCUGAAGCUGAAGAAGUCCUUCUGAUCCUGGAUAAGGAAGCUUCAAGAGAACAAUGCUCCUGAAAGGCUCGAGAGAAAAGAAAGUCUGGACUGACAAUAAAACCUGCCAUUUAUUCAUGCAUCUUCUCUCUUCUUCCUCUGGCACUUAUUUCUAACAUCCAUGGACCAGGCCUCCCAGUUGCCAUGGAGACGCAGUGUGCAGCUGGAUGGUGAAUAAACUGAGGCUGAAACCUGCUCCAAACCAGGUCACCUGGAGUUGAACAGACAAGUUCCUGCUAUUAUUAAGUUCACGAAGGGUGGAAAGACACAGGACUAUCUUAACCAACCUGUAAUAAAACUGGUUCCUCUUCCUGUCUAUCUGCCUGUGUUUGUUUCUACUCCCAGCCCAGGCAUCCCCAGAGAAGCUUGGGGUAGGGAAGGGAGACAGACUCUAUAUUAAAAAAAAAAAAAAAAGAAAAAGAAAAUCUGACCUUUUCUCUUAGAGGUGUGGACUCCUUCAAUGGUCCUCUCUUCCCUCAGCUCUUAGAUGGACUAGCAGGUCCUUCUGGUUCUGGCUUGUAUUUCUGCU
Psammomys obesus (fat sand rat) is the source of this 618-nucleotide long non-coding RNA. RefSeq lists it as uncharacterized. The record is from RefSeq and is a predicted model, not a curated record. The transcript is spliced from 4 exons. NCBI's taxonomy places the organism in Eukaryota, Metazoa, Chordata, Mammalia, Rodentia, Muridae.